This is a non-coding RNA of Odocoileus virginianus texanus, 609 nucleotides long. NCBI's taxonomy places the organism in Eukaryota, Metazoa, Chordata, Mammalia, Artiodactyla, Cervidae. The record is from RefSeq and is a predicted model, not a curated record.
AGCAGCUGGGCUCUCGGAAGGCCACGCCACCCCCAAGGAGCAGGCCCAACCAGGAGAAGGUAAGGGAUGGCGUGGAGCCCUCCAGAGCCUGCAGAGUGAGCACCAUCUGCAGCGCGCUGGACCUGGAGCCUCCAAGGCAGGACUGCGUCACCGGGGAGACUCAAGAGGAAUUGAUACUUCGGCCCCCAGUGACAUGUACACGGUGUAAUGACAGGAAAUGAGCAGGUUUGCACAGAAACUGCUGGCCUGAAAUUUAAGAAGAAGACGUGGUCGCUUGUAAUACAGUUCCAUGGCCCUAAAUGCAAAAGUAUCAAAAAGUAUGCUGUGAAAAAUCUCCUUCCCACUUCUGUCCCAAGCAGCCUGGCUCCUCCUCUGCUGACAACUAAUAUUACCCAGAUUUUGGGUUACUUUUUGAUGACAGUCUAUACACACCAACAGUGGUGCAGUUUAGAUUUCAAAGUUUUGAUCAGUCCGAUUGCAGUAAAGUAAGACACCACCCACUUGGUCCUUAAGAAUCAGCAGAACUGCGUCUGUUCCAGGAUCGGUUGAGCUGAGAUGUACCUUUUAUUUGGAGAGGGAGCAUUUCAUCAAGUCAGUUCUCAGUGAAAU